This 21-nucleotide unclassified non-coding RNA is filed under the name Mus musculus (house mouse). RNAcentral's name for it is "oocyte_clustered_small_RNA10212". The record is from RNAcentral. Lineage: Eukaryota; Metazoa; Chordata; Mammalia; Rodentia; Muridae.
UUAUAUAGCACAGGCUGGCCU